CAGUAGCCACGGGAAUACAGAGGAUGCAAGCGUUAUCCGGAAUGAUUGGGCGUAAAGGGCUCGCAGGCGGUUUCUUAAGUCUGAUGUGAAAGCCCCCGGCUCAACCGGGGAGGGUCAUUGGAAACUGGGAAACUUGAGUGCAGAAGAGGAGAGUGGAAUUCCACGUGUAGCGGUGAAAUGCGUAGAGAUGUGGAGGAACACCAGUGGCGAAGGCGACUCUCUGGUCUGUAACUGACGCUGGGGAGCGAAAGCGUGGGGAGCGAACAGGAUUAGAUACCCCCGUAGUCCCUGUCUCUUAUAC
Molecule: ribosomal RNA, 301 nt
Filed under: uncultured bacterium
Lineage: Bacteria
Description: partial 16S ribosomal RNA
Rfam family: Bacterial small subunit ribosomal RNA
Source: RNAcentral